This is a non-coding RNA of Pelobates cultripes (western spadefoot toad), 353 nucleotides long. The record is from the annotation of a GenBank genome assembly. Lineage: Eukaryota; Metazoa; Chordata; Amphibia; Anura; Pelobatidae.
CUUCCUUAACCUCUGAAACCUCAUUGCAAGCCAAGUCAUUUGUCCCUAGAUGGAUAAAUACAUCCAAUUCCCCUUCCUGCUUUGCUCGCUUAACAAUAUUACAAAUACGUCUCCUGUCUCUGUGGGCAGUAGCUCCAGGAAGACAUCACACAAGACCACCAUUGUCCAUCUCCACACUUCUUAUGAUAGAAUCCCCCAACAACAACAGCCUUCUAUUAGGCCUCACCAUAGUCUCCAAGCCUGUCUCCACAACACCACUACCCUCGGUGCCCGAGCCUGUCUCCACAACACCACUACCCUCAGUGCCUGAGUCUGUCUCCACAACACCACUACCCUCAGUGCCUGAGCCUGUC